UACGAAGGUGGCAAGCGUUACUCGGAUUUACUAGGCGUAAAGGGCAGGUAGGUGGUUUGGCAAGUCUGUUGUGAAAGCUCCCGGCCCAACUGGGAGAGGUCAACAGAAACUGCCAGGCUUGAGUAUAGGAGAGGGUACUGGAAUUCCCGGUGUAGCGGUGAAAUGCGCAGAGAUCGGGAGGAACACCAAUGGCGAAAGCAGGUACCUGGACUAUUACUGACACUCAGCUGCGAAAGCUAGGGGAGCAAACAGG
Molecule: ribosomal RNA, 253 nt
Filed under: uncultured prokaryote
Description: partial 16S ribosomal RNA
Rfam family: Bacterial small subunit ribosomal RNA
Source: RNAcentral